RNAcentral lists this ribosomal RNA (207 nucleotides) under uncultured bacterium. Its description in RNAcentral is "partial 16S ribosomal RNA". It matches the Rfam family "Bacterial small subunit ribosomal RNA", at positions 568 to 774 of the family's 1533-position model. The record is from RNAcentral.
CGUGCAGGCGGUGCCUUAAGUUGGACGUGAAAUCUCCCGGCCCAACUGGGAGCGGUCGCUCAAUACUGAGGCACUUGAGGUCGGAAGAGGGAAGUGGAAUUCCCGGUGUAGCGGUGGAAUGCGUAGAUAUCGGGAGGAACACCUGUGGCGAAAGCGGCUUCCUGGUCCGCACCUGACGCUAAGACGCGAAAGCUAGGGGAGCAAACG